CACAGUACUGCUGCUGUUAAGGAGUUGGACCUGCUGUCCCUCAGUACCUACCAAACGUUUGGGAGGCUGUCUGACUAAAAGGACCAGCUCCCAAGUUCAAGAGCAUUUUAGCUGCUCAUCUGCAAUAAAACUCCUUAGAGGAAAAGGGAAACUUUGAGCCAUGCUCAUUUCUCCUGUGACUAAAUAUCUUGGUUGUCUUUAGAAACUUCUUGGGAGGAAAAAGGGAAAGGCAGUUUUCUUUACAGGCAUGUCAGAAUACCUGCCCAGCACCUUCGAAACCUGAAUUAAAGAUGCAUGACAGGCCAUGAAUGUUUUGGAAGGGAAGGAGACAGAAGUGUAUAGAAAGGAAAGAAGAUAUAUCCAAGUAAUAUGCAUGUUACUUUGAAGUUGUUGUAACUAGUGAAAGGGUGCUGACUGACUUUUAAUGAUAUCGGAAGUCCUGUAAGCCAAUUUAGCCUGCUUUCUAUACAGUUGAAAUGCUCUCAGCCACUUUUCCCUCUAUUACAGGAGAAGGCUAUUGGUCGCAUUCAAGAUCAUGGCUAUUCUGUACUGGAUUCCCCCAAGGCAAACCAGUCAUUUUCAAAAGUGGAUAAGCCACUGACUAAAGAACAAGAGGAAGACAAAGUGUCCAAAAAGGGCAACAGGAAAGCCAAACAAACAUCUGAAAAGCCUCCACAUCGCAGAGCUGAGGGCAGAAGCAAACAGAGAAGUAGCUCAAUAACUAUUAAGGAGAGCAAGGUGAGUGUUAUAUGCUCUAAAAUCUUCCAGUGGCCUUACUGCCAGUUGCUGAAGCAGCUGUCACAGCAUUGACACGAAUCCAAACUGUGUAAAUGUCGGGUGAAAACACUGUCUGCACCCUCCCUGGCACCCAACACACUCAUAUUUAUCUCACAUUUUGCUUCCAUCAUAGGUAUGUUUUGAGUUUAUGGUCCAGCAGUUAACUCUUUGCAGUUUUAGGAGUUAUGACAUGAAUGUUAACCAGUUACAGGACUACAGCACUAUGAUUUUUUCUUUUGUUUACUCUUCUAAUUACAGUUACUCACUGCUUUCAAGUUAAGAUACCCAAUUUAAAAUAUUGGUCAAUUUGAAGUAAUCCCCCAAUAAAAAAAAUUACAUGCUGAUGUUAAAUUCCUUU
This 1135-nucleotide long non-coding RNA is filed under the name Calidris pugnax (ruff). RNAcentral's name for it is "lncRNA (ENSCPUG00000008047.1)". Lineage: Eukaryota; Metazoa; Chordata; Aves; Charadriiformes; Scolopacidae. The record is from RNAcentral.